This 376-nucleotide ribosomal RNA is filed under the name uncultured bacterium. RNAcentral describes it as "partial 16S ribosomal RNA". It matches the Rfam family "Bacterial small subunit ribosomal RNA", at positions 338 to 728 of the family's 1533-position model. The record is from RNAcentral.
CCUACGGGUGGCAGCAGUGGGGAAUAUUGGGCAAUGGGCGCAAGCCUGACCCAGCAACGCCGCGUGAAGGAAGAAGGCUUUCGGGUUGUAAACUUCUUUUAUUAGAGACGAAGAACGUGACUGUACCUCAUUAUUAAGUGACCGCUAACUACGUGCCAGCAGCCGCGGUAAUACGGAAGUGGCAAGCCUUAUCCGGAUUGAUUGGUUGUAAAGGGCGUGUAGGCGGGAAGGCAAGUCAGAUGUGAAAACUCAGGGCUCAACCCUGAGACUGCAUUUGAAACUGGUAUUCUUGAGUGCAGGAGAGGCAAUCGGAAUUCGGGGUGUAGCGGUGAAAUGCGUAGAUAUCAGGAGGAACACCAGUGGCGAAGGCGGAUUG